GGCGCACGGGUGAGUAACACGUAGGUAACCUACCCUCGAGUGGUGGAUAACCCUCCGAAAGGAGAGCUAAUACAGCAUAAGACCACGGCAUUCCGAUGCUGCGGAAAAAGCGGGCCUCUCUAUAGAAGCUCGUGCUCGAGGAUGGGCCUGCGGCCCAUCAUGCUAGUUGGCGAGGUAAUGGCUCACCAAGGCUAAGACGGGUAGCUGGUCUGAGAGGAUGAACAGCCACACUGGAACUGAGACACGGUCCAGACUCCUACGGGAGGCAGCAGUGGGGAAUCUUGCGCAAUGGGCGAAAGCCUGACGCAGCGACGCCGCGUGAGCGAUGAAGGCCUUCGGGUUGUAAAGCUCUGUGGGGAGGGAAGAAUAAGCCUAGGCUAAUACCACUAGGUGAUGACGGUACCUCCUUAGCAAGCACCGGCUAACUCUGUGCCAGCAGCCGCGGUAAGACAGAGGGUGCAAACGUUGUUCGGAAUUACUGGGCGUAAAGCGCGUGUAGGCGGCUAUGCAAGUCGGGCGUGAAAUCCCACGGCUCAACCGUGGAAGUGCACUCGAAACUGCGUAGCUAGAGUCCCGGAGAGGAAGGUGGAAUACUUGGUGUAGAGGUGAAAUUCGUAGAUAUCAAGUGGAACACCGGUGGCGAAGGCGGCCUUCUGGACGGUGACUGACGCUGAGACGCGAAAGCGUGGGGAGCAAACGGGAUUAGAUACCCCGGUAGUCC
Molecule: ribosomal RNA, 721 nt
Filed under: uncultured bacterium
Lineage: Bacteria
Description: bacterial SSU rRNA
Rfam family: Bacterial small subunit ribosomal RNA
Source: RNAcentral